RNAcentral lists this ribosomal RNA (850 nucleotides) under uncultured bacterium. RNAcentral's name for it is "bacterial SSU rRNA". It matches the Rfam family "Bacterial small subunit ribosomal RNA", at positions 8 to 847 of the family's 1533-position model. The record is from RNAcentral.
AGAGUUUGAUCAUGGCUCAGGAUUAACGCUGGCGGCAUGCCUAAUACAUGCAAGUCGAACGGUAACAGGAAUAGCUUGCUAUUUGCUGACGAGUGGCGGACGGGUGAGUGAUGUAUAGGAACUUGCCUAGUAGUGGGGGACAACCUGUGGAAACGCAGGCUAAUACCGCAUACGCUCUACGGAGGAAAGUGGGGGAUCUUUCGGGACCUCACGCUACUAGAUAGGCCUAUAUUGGAUUAGCUAGUUGGUAAGGUAAAGGCUUACCAAGGCGACGAUCCAUAGCUGGUUUGAGAGAAUGAUCAGCCACACUGGGACUGAGACACGGCCCAGACUCCUACGGGAGGCAGCAGUGGGGAAUAUUGCACAAUGGAGGAAACUCUGAUGCAGCAAUGCCGCGUGUGUGAAGAAGGCCUUAGGGUUGUAAAGCACUUUCAAUGGGGAGGAAAAGUAAUAAGUUAAUAACUUAUUACCGUGACGUUACCUAUAGAAGAAGGACCGGCUAACUCCGUGCCAGCAGCCGCGGUAAUACGGAGGGUCCGAGCGUUAAUCGGAAUUACUGGGCGUAAAGCGCGCGUAGGCGGUUUACCAAGUCAGAUGUGAAAGCCCUGGGCUCAACCUAGGAACUGCAUUUGAAACUGGUAGGCUAGAGUAUGGUAGAGGUGAGUGGAAUUUCAGGUGUAGCGGUGAAAUGCGUAGAGAUCUGAAGGAACAUCAGUGGCGAANGCGACUCACUGGGCCAUUACUGACGCUGAGGUGCGAAAGCGUGGGUAGCAAACAGGAUUAGAUACCCUGNUAGUCCACGCCCUAAACGAUGUCAACUANGUGUGUGAAGAUAUAAUCUUUGCGUAUC